GCCGGAAUGGCGCAGUGGUAACGCGUUUGGCUUGUACUCUACCGAGACGGAGACCAAAAGACCCCUGGUUCAAUCCCAGGUUUCGGCA
Non-coding RNA from Eremomyces bilateralis CBS 781.70, 88 nucleotides. The record is from the annotation of a RefSeq genome assembly. Lineage: Eukaryota; Fungi; Ascomycota; Dothideomycetes; Eremomycetales; Eremomycetaceae.